AAGUGUCAAUUCCAUUUGUCAGAGACAGUA
This 30-nucleotide non-coding RNA is filed under the name Rattus norvegicus (Norway rat). Lineage: Eukaryota; Metazoa; Chordata; Mammalia; Rodentia; Muridae. The record is from RNAcentral.